AAAUUGAAGAGUUUGAUCAUGGCUCAGAUUGAACGCUGGCGGCAGGCCUAACACAUGCAAGUCGAGCGGUAGCACAGAGAGCUUGCUCUCGGGUGACGAGCGGCGGACGGGUGAGUAAUGUCUGGGAAACUGCCUGAUGGAGGGGGAUAACUACUGGAAACGGUAGCUAAUACCGCAUAAUGUCGCAAGACCAAAGUGGGGGACCUUCGGGCCUCAUGCCAUCAGAUGUGCCCAGAUGGGAUUAGCUAGUAGGUGGGGUAACGGCUCACCUAGGCGACGAUCCCUAGCUGGUCUGAGAGGAUGACCAGCCACACUGGAACUGAGACACGGUCCAGACUCCUACGGGAGGCAGCAGUGGGGAAUAUUGCACAAUGGGCGCAAGCCUGAUGCAGCCAUGCCGCGUGUGUGAAGAAGGCCUUCGGGUUGUAAAGCACUUUCAGCGGGGAGGAAGGCGGUGAGGUUAAUAACCUCAUCGAUUGACGUUACCCGCAGAAGAAGCACCG
Molecule: ribosomal RNA, 503 nt
Filed under: Klebsiella pneumoniae
Lineage: Bacteria; Pseudomonadati; Pseudomonadota; Gammaproteobacteria; Enterobacterales; Enterobacteriaceae
Description: bacterial SSU rRNA
Rfam family: Bacterial small subunit ribosomal RNA
Source: RNAcentral